AUUGAACGCUGGCGGCAUGCCUAACACAUGCAAGUCGAACGGUAACAGGCCUUCGGGCGCUGACGAGUGGCGGACGGGUGAGUAAUACGUAGGAAUCUGUCUUAUAGUGGGGGAUAACUUAGGGAAACUUAAGCUAAUACCGCAUACGCACUACGGUGGAAAGCAGGGGAUCGCAGGACCUUGCGCUAUUAGAUGAGCCUACGUCGGAUUAGCUAGUUGGUAGGUAAAGGCCUACCAAGGCAACGAUCCGUAGCUGGUCUGAGAGGGCGACCAGCCACACUGGGACUGAGACACGGCCCAGACUCCUACGGGAGGCAGCAGUGGGGAAUAUUGGACAAUGGGCGCAAGCCUGAUCCAGCAAUGCCGCGUGUGUGAAGAAGGCCUCGG
RNAcentral lists this ribosomal RNA (387 nucleotides) under uncultured bacterium. Its description in RNAcentral is "bacterial SSU rRNA". It matches the Rfam family "Bacterial small subunit ribosomal RNA", at positions 30 to 420 of the family's 1533-position model. The record is from RNAcentral.